This is a non-coding RNA of Callithrix jacchus (white-tufted-ear marmoset), 3023 nucleotides long. Lineage: Eukaryota; Metazoa; Chordata; Mammalia; Primates; Cebidae. The record is from RefSeq and is a predicted model, not a curated record.
UAGUAAGGGAUGGGGGGCCAUGUGUCAUUUUCAAGUUGGUAGGCCUAGGGAUUGUACUUUAUUUGCAAAAGUCAGUGCCGAUUUUAGUAACAAAGGGGGAAAAUUCAGUCUUUGGUCAUUUCAGUAUAUUUAACGUGUGUCUAAAUCUACAUGUUUGGGUAACAAUAGAUUUACAAUAGAUAGCAAUACAUUUACUAUCUGUGAAUACUAAUUCUUUGCCACCGCAGAUAUGGAAAGCAUAUUUUAUGAGAUGUAGGGGAGUUAAUAAGUGUGUUGUCCCCAGGGGUCAGUGGGGGAGAUCCCAGGUGGCCCACCAGGCUUACACUGUUGCUUGUAGAAUGCCACUCUCCUCUUUAGGCAUUCUAAUGAGCAAGUCCUUGAGCUCUGUUUGAAAUGGUCUCAGAAAAUAUACCCAGACUAUUUCUAAAACUACCAUUUCCGUUGUUCCCUAUUACCUACGAGAUAAAGUCAAACUUGUCAACAGCAUUCAGCUCCCUAGAAGAGCUGGCCCCAGGAAGUGUCUCCACACCCUCCUGCACUCUUACCACCCCAUGCCACCAGGUGCACACUCACGCUUUCUGUCACUAUCUCACCUGCAGGACCAUUCCCUUUGUGGGAGGUAGAAAAAUUCCUCUUCAAAGUUUCCUUUCUUGUUUAAAAAAAAAAUGUAUAAAAGUUUGUUUUAAACACUUUCUUCAAAACCCUUCUUGCUCUUUGCUAAAAGCCCUAUCCUAUGUAGCGUUAGACAUGCUUACAGGCACGUAGUACAUUCUAUGUCCUUGUAUGUCUGAAAUGUCUGUGCUGGAUGUGCUCACAGGCAUGUCCCAGCCUGCGGCCUCUGCCCCUUCCCUAUUUGGAUUUCCUUUUUUUGCUCUCCAUUGCUUUUACCUGUUUAAAAAAGUUUCAAGUUAUUAGCCAAUCAAAUUUUAAAUUGUGAGGUCUGGCUCCAGCCAAUGGAAAUCAAACACAGUAGUAAAAGCAACCCCAAAUGCAUAAAAAAUAAAUAUGUCUGCUUUCCUUUGUUCGUUGUACUCUUGUGGCGGAAUUGCUAACAGGGGUUCCCUUUCUGCAGGAAGUAAAAAAAAAAAAUGCUUUGCUAAAAAAAUCCUUGGUGCCAGUACUAAUUUUUCUUUGCGGCACCAAAAAGAAAAAUUUUACACAUAGGCGCCGGGGCUGCUGCUGUCAUGGACACCUGGGUCUGCUUCAGUGCUCAGAGCCAAGCCCGGGAGCGGCUGUGUAGGGCCGCCCAGUAUGGUUGCUCUCUUCUUGGCCAUGCGCUGCAGAGGCAUGGAGCCAGUCCUGAGUUACAGAAACAGAUUAGACAGCUGGAGGGCCACCUGAGCCUUGGAAGAAAGCUUCUAUGCCUGGGUAACUCAGCAGAUGCUCUUGAGUCAGCCAAAAGAGCUGUUCACCUGUCAGAUGUUGUCCUGAGAUUCUGCAUCACUGUUAGUCACCUCAAUCAAGCCUUGUACUUCGCCUGCGACAAUGUCCUGUGGGCUGGAAAGUCUGGACUGGCUCCUCGUGUGAAUCAGGAGAAGUGGGCCCAGCGUUCAUUCCGGUACUAUUUGUUUUCCCUCAUCAUGAAUUUGAGCCGUGAUGCUUAUGAGAUUCGCCUACUGAUGGAACAAGAGUCUUCAGCUUGUAGCCGGCAACUGAAAGGUUCCGGAGGAGGCGUCUCAGGAGGAAUUGAAACUGGGGACUUGGGGGACCAGGGACCCCAGGAGGAGGUCUGCCCCAACUGGCUCUGAAACUUCAGCUCCAAGUCCUGCUCCUGGCUCGAGUCCUUAGAGGUCAUCCCCCACUUCUGCUGGAUGUGGUCAGAAAUGCCUGUGAUGUCUUCAUUCCACCAGACAAACUAGGCCUCUGGCGUUGUGGGGCUGUGUGGCCUCGUGUCCUCCAUCCUGUCUUUUCGCACCCUAAUCUAUCCCUGGCUACGACUCAAGCCCUGACUUUCUGGUACACGAUAAGGAGGGGACCUAAAUUGGUGAGAUGGAAUCUUAGAGCGUCUCUCAUGUACCAGCCUCCUUCUAGUUCUACUUAAAAAGUUAAAAUUAGAAAUUCAGAGAUUUGGGGUGGAGGAAGAGCUUUGGGGAAGAUGAGGUGAGGAAAGGUGCUAUGAAGUUAAUAGGAUGACUCUAAUUUCUAGAUGAGCCUGGGCUUCUGUUCUUUUCCUCUUUCAUUGUCUGUGUCUCUCUUGAAUGUAUUUACUUUGUGCCUCUUAGGUCUAUUUAAGAUUCUGUGUCUAUCCAUCUGUCUCUUUUUUUUAACCUUCUCAUUCUAUCCAGAGAUUUAAUCAGCAGAAUUACUUUUUUAGGGGAAGGAUAAGAUUUUGUCUGUAAGGUUCUGCCUUCUUUUUUCUCGCAGAGCUGGCUUAUGGCAGAGUUUUCCUUCUUCACACUCCAAAUCAUAAUUUUUAAGACUUUAUGUGCCAGUGGACUCUUCCCUCAUAUCUCUGCACCACAAGUUGUUUGACGUUUCCUCUUCCUCCCUCGUGGCUACCUCACCAACCUUGCUCAUGAUUUGGCCCUUAUCCUUCCCUGUACUCAUACCUUCAGAUUUCUGCUGACACUGAUUUCAGAGCUUUAUUCCCUAGCCUGUUCUUACCCCUCCAUUGCUUAUCCAGAAUGAUGCUGUGUCUAGCAUCUUGCUGUAAAUACUGCACAAUGAUUCUGUGUAAAUAGAUGUGGCCUGUGCCAAUAAUGCAGAGCAAGCCUUUCAGGUAAACAAAUUAAAGUUCAGUUUGCUCAUCAAAAAAAAAGAAAAAUUUUACACAUAACACCCCUUUACCAACUGGUCAGUCCCUGCCUGUCCUUUAAGGCCCAGCCACAUGCUGUCUCCUGCUCAAGGAUGACCUUCAAAAUUGCCCCCCUCCUUGUAGCUCUGUCCUGACACUUUGCUCACUCUGACAUCACAUUGUCCCUUUAUUUUGAGGCUUGGUCUCCCCCAGCAGACUGUCAACUCCUUUAGGAGGUGAUUUCAUGUUGGUCAUCUUCUUUGCCCACCGGGGCCUAACAUAAUAGAAG